RNAcentral lists this ribosomal RNA (253 nucleotides) under uncultured bacterium. Its description in RNAcentral is "partial 16S ribosomal RNA". It matches the Rfam family "Bacterial small subunit ribosomal RNA", at positions 524 to 776 of the family's 1533-position model. The record is from RNAcentral.
UACGGGGGGGGCAAGCGUUGUUCGGAAUUACUGGGCGUAAAGGGCUCGUAGGCGGCCAACUAAGUCGGAUGUGAAAUCCCCAGGCUCAACUUGGGAACUGCAUCCGAUACUGGAUGGCUUGAAUACGGGAGAGGGAUGCAGAAUUCCAGGUGUAGCGGUGAAAUGCGUAGAUAUCUGGAGGAAUACCGGUGGCGAAGGCGGCAUCCUGGACCGACAUUGACGCUGAGGAGCGAAAGCUAGGGGAGCAAACGGG